RNAcentral lists this ribosomal RNA (557 nucleotides) under uncultured bacterium. Its description in RNAcentral is "bacterial SSU rRNA". It matches the Rfam family "Bacterial small subunit ribosomal RNA", at positions 102 to 694 of the family's 1533-position model. The record is from RNAcentral.
ACGGGUGAGUAACGCGUGGGAAUCUACCGUGCCCUGCGGAAUAGCUCCGGGAAACUGGAAUUAAUACCGCAUACGUCCUACGGGGGAAAGAUUUAUCGGGGUAUGAUGAGCCCGCGUUGGAUUAGCUAGUUGGUGGGGUAAAGGCCUACCAAGGCGACGAUCCAUAGCUGGUCUGAGAGGAUGAUCAGCCACAUUGGGACUGAGACACGGCCCAAACUCCUACGGGAGGCAGCAGUGGGGAAUAUUGGACAAUGGGCGCAAGCCUGAUCCAGCCAUGCCGCGUGAGUGAUGAAGGCCUUAGGGUUGUAAAGCUCUUUCACCGGAGAAGAUAAUGACGGUAUCCGGAGAAGAAGCCCCGGCUAACUUCGUGCCAGCAGCCGCGGUAAUACGAAGGGGGCUAGCGUUGUUCGGAAUUACUGGGCGUAAAGCGCACGUAGGUGGAUAUUUAAGUCAGGGGUGAAAUCCCAGAGCUCAACUCUGGAACUGCCUUUGAUACUGGGUAUCUUGAGUAUGGAAGAGGUAAGUGGAAUUCCGAGUGUAGAGGUGAAAUUCGUAGA